GUCGUCAGCUCGUGUUGUGAAAUGUUGGGUUAAGUCCCGCAACGAGCGCAACCCUUAUCCUUGUUUGCCAGCGAGUAAUGUCGGGAACUCCAGGGAGACUGCCGGUGAUAAACCGGAGGAAGGUGGGGACGACGUCAAGUCAUCAUGGCCCUUACGAGUAGGGCUACACACGUGCUACAAUGGCGCAUACAGAGGGCGGCCAACUUGCGAAAGUGAGCGAAUCCCAAAAAGUGCGUCGUAGUCCGGAUUGGAGUCUGCAACUCGACUCCAUGAAGUCGGAAUCGCUAGUAAUCGUGGAUCAGAAUGCCACGGUGAAUACGUUCCCGGGCCUUGUACACACCGCCCGUCACACCAUGGGAGUGGGCUGCAAAAGAAGUGGGUAGUUUAACCUUCGGGAGGACGCUCACCACUUUGUGGUUCAUGACUGGGGUGAAGUCGUAACAAGGUAGCGCUAGGGGAACCUGGCGCUGGAUCACCUCCUUAUACGAUGAU
This 492-nucleotide ribosomal RNA is filed under the name Vibrio vulnificus. RNAcentral's name for it is "bacterial SSU rRNA". It matches the Rfam family "Bacterial small subunit ribosomal RNA", at positions 1051 to 1533 of the family's 1533-position model. Lineage: Bacteria; Pseudomonadati; Pseudomonadota; Gammaproteobacteria; Vibrionales; Vibrionaceae. The record is from RNAcentral.